This 349-nucleotide unclassified non-coding RNA is filed under the name soil metagenome. RNAcentral describes it as "partial contains 5.8S ribosomal RNA, internal transcribed spacer 2, and large subunit ribosomal RNA". The stretch from base 1 to 120 matches the Rfam family "5.8S ribosomal RNA", at positions 35 to 154 of the family's 154-position model. The record is from RNAcentral.
GAUGAAGAACGUAGUGAAAUGCGAUAAGUAAUGUGAAUUGCAGAAUUCAGUGAAUCAUCGAAUCUUUGAACGCACAUUGCGCCCCCUGGUAUUCCGGGGGGCAUGCCUGUUCGAGCGUCAUUUCAACCCUCAAGCUCUGCUUGGUAUUGGGCGUCGCCGGGGAGUCUCCCCGGCGUGCCUCAAAGCCAUCGGCGGUGGUGCCUUUCUCUAAGCGUGGUAGAAUUUUUAUUCGCUUCUGAGUUGGGCUUCGCCUGCCGGACAAACCGGGCCCUCGCAGCCCACCUUCUCAGGUUGACCUCGGAUCAGGUAGGGAUACCCGCUGAACUUAAGCAUAUCAAUAAGCGGAGGA